This is a long non-coding RNA of Trifolium pratense (red clover), 383 nucleotides long. RefSeq lists it as uncharacterized. The record is from RefSeq and is a predicted model, not a curated record. The transcript has 2 exons. NCBI's taxonomy places the organism in Eukaryota, Viridiplantae, Streptophyta, Magnoliopsida, Fabales, Fabaceae.
AUCUAAUCUACUACAAUAAAAAUUAGUACAAUAUAAGUAGAAUUCUUGCAUAGUUUUAUUUGUUCAUACUUGUGAACAACCUUUUGUGUAUUUCACCUGAAAUAUCCAAAACUGAUGAUUGAUAAGAUUUCAAAAUAUGCCUAUUGAACUUACAACUAGGCUUAUUUUGCUGCCGCCGCAGACGCUGACCCAGCCCCUGCGGCUGCCAUUGCUGCUGGACCGAUGAGAGUGAAUGCGACACUUAACUCAGAUGACUACAUCAUUCAGAUUCGGCAGGCAAUUGAUGGCAAUGAACAUAACACUAUACUCUUUCAUCUUGCUGAUGGGGAGGACCUUAGGCCAAAUGUUAUUAACGGGAUAAAUCGUGAAGUUGCUGCAAGAAA